This is a long non-coding RNA of Cygnus atratus (black swan), 639 nucleotides long. RefSeq lists it as uncharacterized. The record is from RefSeq and is a predicted model, not a curated record. Lineage: Eukaryota; Metazoa; Chordata; Aves; Anseriformes; Anatidae. The transcript is spliced from 3 exons.
UCAUCUUUGUGGUAUGAUUCUAACCGAGGGGACGGAAACCUCCAGCCGAUGGGGAGAGGAUGGGAUCGCUUAAAAUAAUAUAAGCGAGGAAUGCACUCAAUUUACAGCUUGUGUGAUGUGAUGGAGCAGGAGGAAGGUGGAACAGAAAGGCUGAAUGUGGAUGAGAACGUGGAGGAGUGUGGAGCGGUUGAUCCUAACAUCUGCAGCCAGCUUAUGACAAGGAUCCCUUCUGGAGAAAAAGGUCUCAAGAGGAGAAAUACAUGAGAAUAGCAAGAUAUCACAAAGGAAAUCCACCAGGUCUGAUCAAGGAGUGCUGAUUCUUUAAAUAGGAUCUUUAAUGAAAACAAAGGCAGUCACCUUGCAUGCACUGUCCACUGUAUUGAAAUGUUCCAAAAACAGUCCCUCUCCCAAGGUAAUACAACAAAACAUUUGCCUAACUCAGACAAAGAACAUGUUUAAGCUCAGACUAAUUCCUUUUUUAAAAGUUACAUGAAAAUCAUAGUCCAUGAACAACACUGCAGAAUCUGAAGAGAUAUUUCUAGGACAUUGUUUUCCUUUUACUGGAUUUUUUUCAUUAAAAUGAAAUCAAAUAAGUAUCUUUUGAACAUUGAGCAAUACCUCUAAGUAUACCACUGUGCA